Molecule: ribosomal RNA, 426 nt
Filed under: uncultured Exobasidiomycetes
Lineage: Eukaryota; Fungi; Basidiomycota; Exobasidiomycetes
Description: LSU rRNA
Rfam family: Eukaryotic large subunit ribosomal RNA
Source: RNAcentral
AAGAGCUCAAAUUUGAAAGCUGGCGUCUUCGGCGUCCGCGUUGUAAUCUCGAGACGUGUUUUCCGUGCGGCUCUAUGGACAAGUCCCUUGGAACAGGGCAUCGUAGAGGGUGAAAAUCCCGUACUUGCCAUGGAAGUACCGUGCUUUGUGAUACACGCUCCAAGAGUCGAGUAGUUUGGGGUUGCUGCUCAAAGUGGGUGGUAGACUCCAUCUAAAGCUAAAUAUCGGGGAGAGACCGAUAGCGAACAAGUACCGUGAGGGAAAGAUGAAAAGCACUUUGGAAAGAGAGUUAAAAGUACGUGAAAUUGUCGAAAGGGAAGCACUUGAAGUCAGCCAUGCUGCUUGAGACUCAGCCUGGCUUUUGCUUGGUGUAUUUCUCGGUAGCAAGCCAGCAUUGGUUUGUGUCGUCGGAGAAGCGUAUGGGGA